CCCGACUGCUAUUUGGGUGAGGAUAAGCCAUGCGGGUUGAAUGGGAAACCUAAAGUUCCCAUGGCAAACUGCUCAGUAACACAUGAUCAACUUACCCUAUAGAGAAAAAUAACCUCGGGAAACUGAGGAUAAUGUUUCAUAGUUGAAUUGGCUUGGAAAAGUUUUUCGACGAAAGGGGUAAAAAAAAUGGUUUUUAUCUGCUAUAGGAUAGGAUCGUGUUCGAUUAUGGUUGUUGGUGAGGUAAUGGCUCACCAAGCCGAUAAUCGAUAGGGGCCGUGAGAGCGGGAGCCCCGAGAUGGGUACUGAGACAACGACCCAGGCCUUACGAGGCGCAGCAGGCGCGAAACCUCCGCAAUACACGAAAGUGUGACGGGGUUACCCAAAGUGUUCAAUUUUGAACUGUGGUAGGUGAGUAAUGUUCCCUACUAGAAAGGAGAGGGCAAGGCUGGUGCCAGCCGCCGCGGUAAAACCAGCUCUUCAAGUGGUCGGGAUAAUUAUUGGGCUUAAAGUGUCCGUAGCCGGUUUAGUAAGUUCCUGGUAAAAUCGGGUAGCUUAACUAUCUAUAUGCUAGGAAUACUACUAUACUAGAGGGCGGGAGAGGUCUGAGGUACUACAGGGGUAGGGGUGAAAUCUUAUAAUCCUUGUUGGACCACCAGUGGCGAAGGCGUCAGACUAGAACACGUCUGACGGUCAGGGACGAAAGCUGGGGUAGCGAACCGGAUUAGAUACCCGGGUAGUCCCAGCCGUAAACGAUGCACGCUAGGUGUUGGGUCGGCCACGAGCCGCCCCAGUGCCGCAGGGAAGCCAUUAAGCGUGCCGCCUGGGGAGUACGGCCGCAAGGCUGAAACUUAA
RNAcentral lists this ribosomal RNA (852 nucleotides) under uncultured archaeon. RNAcentral describes it as "bacterial SSU rRNA". It matches the Rfam family "Archaeal small subunit ribosomal RNA", at positions 21 to 859 of the family's 1478-position model. The record is from RNAcentral.